CGUCCCCUGCAUCGGACCGAAGUCCGACAACUGACUGGGACCCCGUCCCUACAUCGGACCGAUUUCUGAAACUGACUGGGACCCCGUCCCCUACAUCGGACCGAUGUCCGAAACACAAGAAUAAUACUAAUCCCAUAUGGCCUCAAACCUUUGAGUAUAAAUAAAACGCCUUUUAUUUAUCACCAUAUUGAUUACUCAUUAUUUGUCGUUUCGGGUAAUCAACUUCUUACUUGAAUUCCAACACUUGUCCCAUGCUCCUAGCAUGCACACAAUGUUUACCUAUGGUUCUUACUUUGUGAAAUAGAUCACAUUGAACACAUUUCCAAUCCUUCUCAUUUCACAACUCCAAAUCCGUUUUUCAUAAGUUAAAGAAUAUCAAAUUCUUGCUACUUAUAGAAUAUGCUAGAUUCUAACAUUCUAUGCAACUAUCAUUUCGUAAUGUCACUGCACCAAAGUCACAAAGACUAUUGCCAAUGAUAUUACAAAGUCCUCUAUCGGAGAUUGUUACAAGACAAUUCCUUAGAUAUGAUGUCUCUCACUCAAAGUACAUUCCUUUGAACAUCCUUUUUCAUAAAAGUUUCUAAUCUAGACAUAGAUUUUCAAUAUUCAAUUCCUAAUAUGGAUGAAACGACCCAAAAAUACGACCCAAAAAUUUCAUUUUUCAAUAUAACCAAAAACCAUAAAUCUGAGUAUCAUAUCAUAAAACCACACACUAUGUUUCCCAACCAUAAUAAAAAUACUGUGAUGAAGACUGUAUCAUAACUGAAACAUAUCAUAAUCAAGAAACUGAAUCAACUCCCAGGAUAAAAACUGAAGUUGUGGUAUGUGCGAUGCCAUCAUCUUGAGCUCUUCCCUUUGCUUGCGGAAGUACCUGAAACCAAAACUGAAACUGUAAGAACGAAGCUUAGCGAGCUCCCCCAAACUACCACAUACAUUGCAAUAACAUAUAAAGCACAUACUGGGGCCUUGCCCCCUCCAUCGGACCGAAGUCCGAAGCUGACUAACUAGGACCUUGUCCCCUGCAUCGGACCGAAGUCCAGGCUAACUGAAUAGAACAUAGCAUAAACAUAUCAACUAGCAUGAACACACCUAUACUACAUACUACAUCGAGCCAUGGCCCGGAACACAUAACACAUAAUUCCUGUCUGAGCCACGAAGGCAUCAAACAUACUAAAUACUGCAUCAGAUCAAAAUCCGGAAACUGCUACUAGCUAAAUGUGUUGGCAUUAUGGCCUUAGACACAUUCCUACUGGAAGGAAACUCACCUGAGACUGCUGUACUGAUGCUGCUAAUCCUUUUGACUGCUACUUGACCUCUGACUCCGAACUGCUGCUCCACUAGCUCCACGAGCUACCAAUGUCAAUAUAACACUUAGUCCAACUGUCCUCCAAAGGUCANGUCAACUCUGGUCAAGGUCAAAAUCCUGGUCAAAGUCAACCUUCCAGGUCAACCCUACUCGCCGAGUCCACCUAAUGACUCGCCGAGUUCAUAUGCUCAGGGUCUUUCUAUUCGCGACUCGACUCGCCGAGUCAGUCCAUGACUCGCCGAGUCCAACUAUUUGCGAGUCCUGACCUGUCCAACUCGCUGAGUCUCCACCCGAAUCACUGAUUCGAGUUUCAACUUGAAGGGUUUGGGGUUUUGCGACGUGACUCGUCGAGUCCAAGAAUAGACUCGCCGAGCCCAAGGCAAUCUUCAACCAACUCGUCGAGUUGUUCUUCAAACUCGCCGAGUUCAUGCCUAACUUCAUCCAACUCGACGAGCUAUUCAUCCCAGUCGUCGAGUUCCUCCUCAUCUUCAAGCUACUCGCCGAGUCCACUCGAAGGACUCGCCGAGUCUAUUCAGUCCUUAAUCCAUGCAGUGGCUUUUCGAGCCAAACAGGGCUUCCAACUCAUAGAUCCAUACUUCUAAGGCCUAUCCCCCACGUAAAGUGGCAAUCUUUACGUGUAGAUCAAGAGAUCUAGGCUUAAAACAAUCCAAACCAGGGUUUAAGACAAAGAGGCUUCACUAUCAACCCAAGAACAGAUGCUUUAUGACUUUCUAGGCUAAGAUAGACUCAGAUUUGAAGUAGCAACUUCAUAUCUAGGCUUCUAACUCGAAAUAGUUCAUAAGCAUGGUAUAAAAUCCCCAAAUCACAUAGCCAAAGUUGAUCUAUUAAACAAAAGAGGGAAGGUAACGAUUUAAUACCUUUAAAUGCUUAGAAAUGUUCCACCAACUCUGGAUCCAAGGCCCCCUUCUUGCUCCACAAAGACUAACUUCUCUCUCAAGCUCCAAAAGCUUCACUAAGGGUAGAUCUUGCUCCAAAACGAUUAUGGCGGCUAGGGUUUAGUGUUAUGUGCUAGAGAGGCAGUAAAGGAACCCUAGGGGAGAGAAUGAGACGUUUAAAUAAGCUCCAAGUCCCGGAUUUAGGGUUUUCCUUGCUCAGACCAGACUCACCGAGUCACCUUGGCCGACUCGCCGAGUCGGUCGCUUAUACCUCAACCCAGAUCCCGCUCGGACUCGCCGAGUCCCUCCNUGUAUGAAGAGGGAUGUUGCAUGGUUCGUCGAGAGGUGCCUAACUUGUCGCCAAGUUAAGGCCGAGCACCAGCGUCCGCAUGGUAAGCUGCAACCGCUGGAGAUUCCCGAGUGGAAGUGGGAACAGAUUACCAUGGAUUUUAUCACCAAAUUGCCAAGGACUGCGAGAGGAGUCGAUGCAAUUUGGGUGACUGUGGACAGGUUGACGAAGAGCGCUCAUUUUCUUGCUAUCAGUGAGAGCUCUUCUGCUGAGAGGUUGGCAGAGUUGUAUGUCAGGGAGGUGGUAUCGCGGCAUGGGGUUCCGAUGUCGAUUGUUUCAGAUCGAGACGUGCGAUUUACUUCCAGAUUUUGGAAGAAGUUUCACGAGGAGUUGGGUACAAGGCUGCAUUUCAGUACCGCAUACCACCCACAGACGGACGGGCAGAGUGAGCGGACGAUUCAGACGCUCGAGGAUAUGCUCCGAGCGUGUGUUUUGGAUUUUGGAGGGAGUUGGGACACCUAUUUACCCUUGGCAGAGUUUUCGUACAACAACAGCAAUCAUUCGAUCAUUGGUGUGCCACCCUUUGAGCUGUUGUAUGGGAGGAGGUGUCGGACGCCCAUCUGCUGGGGAGAGGUGGGGCAUCGGGUAAUGGGUACUACGAAGAUUGUGCUUCAGACGACAGAGCAGAUACAGCAGGUCAGGCAGGUAUUGUUGACCGCUUAGAGUCGCCAGAAGAGCUAUGCGGACAGGCGUCGGUCCGAGCUCGAGUUUCAGGUUGGUGACCUAGUACUCUUAAAAGUCUCUUCUUGGAAAGGAGUGAUUCGAUUCAGGAAGAGGGGCAAGUUGGGACCUCGAUACAUUGGACCUUACAGGGUAAUUGCGAGGGUAGGCAGGGUUGCCUACCUUUUGGAUCUACCUGCGGAGCUGGGUCAGAUUCACAACACCUUUCAUGUGUCGUAGUUGAGGAAGUGUAUUGCCGACGAGUCGGCUGUGGUUCCAUUAGAGGACAUCCAGGUGGAUGCGGGCCUGAACUAUGUAGAGAGACCAGUGGCAAUUAGGGAUCGAAAGGUUAAGGUUCUGAGGAACGAGGCAGUGCCGUUGGUGCAAGUGUAGUGGCAGCAUCGGAAGGGGUACGAGCUGUCAUGGGAGUCCGAGUUGGAGAUGCGGGAGCAGCAUCCAGAAUUGUUUUCGGUAUAAGACUUCGGGGAUGAAGUCUGGUUCUAGUGGGGGAAAAUUGUAACAGCCGAAAUUCAGGUACAACCGAUUAGCCCUUCAUCUUUAUUUAUUUGUCAUUUUGGGCCUUCGUGUUGGGCGAAUACGCUGGGCGUACAAGGAGUACGUUGCACGUACUCGUGCGCCUCAUUUAAACACGUCAUCGUCGGGUACGCUAGGCAUACCCAAGGUUACGCCGGGCGUAAUCGGUCCAGACCCAAAACCCUAAUUUGAGUUGUUGGCUAUAAAAGGAAUGAGAUGGCUUGGUUCCUCAGCCACCAUCCUUCAGAAAGAAACCUUAAGAGAGUUUUUCCUUCGUUCAUAGCUUGUUUGUGAGCAUUGUAAGCUUCAAGGUGACAUUUCAAGGUAGCAAAAGGAAAGAGGAGUCCAUUGUGGAGGCUAGAAGUUGGUGUGCAAGUGUAGAUCCGUGAUAAGCAAAGGUUGGAGCUUCUUCCUAAGGUAAAAAGUUCAGAUCUUGCCUUGUAGUUCUUAUGGUAUGCUUCAUGGAGCAAUUUCUAGGGUUUUGGUCCCAAAUGAUGGGUUUUGGUCAUAAGACAUCAUAUGUGCUCAUACAAACCCUAAUGCUUGGAUCUAGGUUUCUCUAUUGUACAUGAUUUGAAUCCAAGACUAUAAACCCUAAUUCUAACAUUCAAAUAAUCAUAUUAACAUGAGAAUAGGUUUAUAAUGUUACCUUGAUUGUUAUGUAGUAAUAACAAUCCCAAUUCCUCCUUGAAUUGAAUUUGGAAGGCUUAGAGUCACAAGUGUCACUCCUCUAAUGGUUCACAAACACCAUAAGUAAGAGGAUGAAGAGGAGAGAGGAUGGAAGCUACCAAAACCGUGUGAAAACCCUAGAAGGUUGCUUGUCCACGUUUUCUGGUCCUUAAGGGAUCUAUAUAUAAUGAGGCUAUUAGGGUUAUCUAACAAGGAAACCCUAAUUUGGUUGCUUAAGCCCUAAGCAACCCAUGGAGCCCUUUCCAUAAGGCCUUGGACGAUUUCAUAUGGGCUUCCCCCAUAGAGUUUGUUCACCUUAUAAUAUAAGGCAAUCCAUGGCCCAAAUUGCAAUUAUCUUAUAAUUACAAUUCUAGUCCCUUAAGUUUAAUUAAUCUCUUUUAGUCACAAAACUAAUUACCAAUUAAUUAUUGACUAAUAUUAAUUAAACAAUAUGAUUUCUCCUUUAAUAUAUUAUUCCCAUAAUAUAUUAAUAAAUCAUAUUUAAUCCUUUCUCUCCAUAAUUCAUCCUAUCAAGUUGCUUUGGUGAAGGCAACCCAAAAGGACCAUGCACCAUCGGGUCAAGUACAUACCAAAAUAGUUAUGGACUUAGACACUAAUCCAACAGUCUCCCACUUGGAUAAGUCUAAUAACUAUUCUGCGUAUGACUUCAGAUCCUGAUCUGCAAUCGUAGCUUUCCAAAGCCGCUGUCAACUCUGAUCCUAUCAGAUACGCGUGUCCUUUAGAUAAGGGAUCAUAUAUUCCUCCAUUCUAGAUAUCGUAUGAGAUAUGAUUUCAAAUCAUUCUCUUUGUACUAUAUCUCGAUUCCCGAUUUAUGACGACUGACUAAUUGAACAAAUCAAAUUAGCCCUAGCCCGGCCGAGCAUUUACGUUUGUCAUCACUAAACCAUCGAGGGGCCCAAAGAUAUCGCUUUUAUCCUACUUUGGAUAAAAGGAACGGAUAAACUUUGAUACAAUGCUUGCUUGCACUCACUCACCGAAUCACACACAACAAUAUGUUUUAUAACACCAAGUUACUAGUGCGUUUACAUAUUAUCAAUGUGCAACCGAUUUGCAAGAUACAACUCACACAUCUCGGUUUCAAGAAUAUAAGAUGUUAUCGUCUCACCAAUCACUCGUGAUACAAUUCAUGGAGUGAUCCAAGUGAGCGUGGGUUUAAUCCAAUGCUCAAAUCAUAUUCAUAAGCACUCAUGAACGUUGCAGCAAACAUUUGCUUAUGUCUAAUACUCUUUAGACAAUCCACACACCAAUUCACGACAGUCUUCAUUCAUACCUACUUCCAACAUAUGAACGACUGUGGCCCGUUCGAAUAAUUCGACUGUUCUUAAUAAACUCAAUUAUUCUGGAAGUCAAAACAUGCAAAUGUGAAACACAAGAAUAAUACUAAUCCCAUAUGGCCUCAAACCUUUGAGUAUAAAUAAAACACCUUUUAUUUAUCACCAUAUCGAUUACUCAUUAUUUGUCGUUUCGGGUAAUCAACUUCUUACUUGAAUUCCAACACUUGUCCCAUGCUCCUAGCAUGCACACAAUGUUUACCUAUGGUUCUUACUUUGUGAAAUAGAUCACAUUGAACACAUUUCCAAUCCUUCUCAUUUCUCAACUCCAAAUCCGUUUUUC
RNAcentral lists this long non-coding RNA (6049 nucleotides) under Lactuca sativa (garden lettuce). RNAcentral's name for it is "long non-coding RNA (LSAT_LNC010229)". The record is from RNAcentral. Lineage: Eukaryota; Viridiplantae; Streptophyta; Magnoliopsida; Asterales; Asteraceae.